Molecule: long non-coding RNA, 516 nt
Filed under: Sus scrofa (pig)
Lineage: Eukaryota; Metazoa; Chordata; Mammalia; Artiodactyla; Suidae
Description: lncRNA (ENSSSCG00070014947.1)
Source: RNAcentral
AAAAAAACCUUCAGUGUGCAUUCAGCCUUCUUGCAUCAACAUAAAGAAAUUCAUGAUGAAUAGAAUGCAGCAAACUCAUGAAAUAAUUAUAUAUGCUCUCCUGAUUGUAUAGACCUGCUCUAAGUAUUGUGGGGCAUAUUAUAAAAAUGUGAGGCUGUGUCACAUAAAAAUUGGCUCUGUUCCUUGAAAUGCUAUUAGUGUCCCUCUAGGAUUUUUCCAUUCUCGACGCUAGAAGCUUCAUCCUCGGGGAACCAUGAACCUUCUGACGAGGUCCAAGAACCCAGUACCCAGUUCCAGCUGCCAGGCUCACCCUCUUCUCCUUGUAGGACUCAGCGCCGUCUAGCCACAUGGCCAGGUUGCUCUGGACUGUAAAUAUCCCCAGAAUCACAGAAAGACAUGGAUGGCAUGAAAACUCCAACUCUGAACUGAGUCAUCUGAAAGCGUGUGAACCUAGAUGGCAUUAAAAUUCCAAACCUUGGAGUUCCCACUGUGAUGCAGCCUGCAACUGGGGUGGGC